RNAcentral lists this ribosomal RNA (695 nucleotides) under Paenibacillus sp. 14UB. RNAcentral describes it as "bacterial SSU rRNA". It matches the Rfam family "Bacterial small subunit ribosomal RNA", at positions 69 to 748 of the family's 1533-position model. The record is from RNAcentral. Lineage: Bacteria; Bacillati; Bacillota; Bacilli; Caryophanales; Paenibacillaceae.
UGAUGGAGUGCUUGCACUCCUGAUGGUUAGCGGCGGACGGGUGAGUAACACGUAGGUAACCUGCCCAUAAGACUGGGAUAACCCACGGAAACGUGAGCUAAUACCAGAUAGGCAUUUUCCUCGCAUGAGGGGAAUGAGAAAGGCGGAGCAAUCUGUCACUUAUGGAUGGACCUGCGGCGCAUUAGCUAGUUGGUGAGGUAACGGCUCACCAAGGCGACGAUGCGUAGCCGACCUGAGAGGGUGAUCGGCCACACUGGGACUGAGACACGGCCCAGACUCCUACGGGAGGCAGCAGUAGGGAAUCUUCCGCAAUGGACGAAAGUCUGACGGAGCAACGCCGCGUGAGUGAUGAAGGUUUUCGGAUCGUAAAGCUCUGUUGCCAGGGAAGAACGCCUAGGAGAGUAACUGCUCUUAGGGUGACGGUACCUGAGAAGAAAGCCCCGGCUAACUACGUGCCAGCAGCCGCGGUAAUACGUAGGGGGCGAGCGUUGUCCGGAAUUAUUGGGCGUAAAGCGCGCGCAGGCGGCAAUGUAAGUUGGGUGUUUAAACCUAGGGCUCAACCUUGGGUCGCAUCCAAAACUGCAUAGCUUGAGUACAGAAGAGGAAAGUGGAAUUCCACGUGUAGCGGUGAAAUGCGUAGAGAUGUGGAGGAACACCAGUGGCGAAGGCGACUUUCUGGGCUGUAACUGACGCUG